GAUGAACGCUGGCGGCAUGCUUUACACAUGCAAGUCGAACGGCAGCGCGGGCUUCGGCCUGGCGGCGAGUGGCGAACGGGUGAGUAAUACAUCGGAACGUGCCCAGUUGUGGGGGAGAGCUCGGCGAAAGCCGGAUUAAUACCGCAUACGACCUGAGGGUGAAAGCGGGGGAUCUUCGGACCUCGCGCUAUUGGAGCGGCCGAUGGCAGAUUAGCUAGUUGGUGGGGUAAAGGCCUACCAAGGCGACGAUCUGUAGCUGGUCUGAGAGGACGACCAGCCACACUGGAACUGAGACACGGCCCAGACUCCUACGGGAGGCAGCAGUGGGGAAUUUUGGACAAUGGGCGAAAGCCUGAUCCAGCAAUGCCGCGUGUGUGAUGAAGGCCUUCGGGUUGUAAAGCACUUUUGGCGGGAAAGAAAAGGACUGUGCCAAUACCACGGUUCGAUGACGGUACCCGAAGAAUAAGCACCGGCUAACUACGUG
RNAcentral lists this ribosomal RNA (484 nucleotides) under uncultured bacterium. RNAcentral describes it as "partial 16S ribosomal RNA". It matches the Rfam family "Bacterial small subunit ribosomal RNA", at positions 28 to 507 of the family's 1533-position model. The record is from RNAcentral.